This 2004-nucleotide unclassified non-coding RNA is filed under the name Neodiprion pinetum (white pine sawfly). RNAcentral's name for it is "uncharacterized LOC124213405, transcript variant X2". Lineage: Eukaryota; Metazoa; Arthropoda; Insecta; Hymenoptera; Diprionidae. The record is from RNAcentral.
GUCGUUCAGCGAGAGGCACGGUAAACAGGACUUGACCGAGUCCUCUGAGUUUCCACUCCGCAGUCUACGGUCUACACCUUUCGCCUUUACUACAGGUAGAUUAUACAGCCGAGUCGUAACAGAACUGCGAAGAACACGUCAUCGUGGAUCUACUACCAUUUCAUGAAUUUGGUGGAAUUUCAAAUUUGUCGACUGAUAUACCGGAGGAGAAUCUGAGCGCGCAUGGUAUAGUGUGGCUACGUACUCCAUCGAAUAAUAUCAGUCGUGACAAGAAGUAAGAUUGUCCACGAUGUCAUCCGAAAGAAUUGUAGGCGAUAAUCACGACCGGAGAUCACGGAGUGCGCAAAAUGAUCGGAGCUCCGUUGCUUCGGGACCUUUGCCGUAUUCCCUGAACCGAUUGAACAAAAACACUCCACGAAGUGCCUCCCAUGGUAGUCUGUAUGACAACAAUUCAGAUAUUUACGUAACAAGUGCCGCCUACAAAGCACCCUCCGAGAUAAGUCAAGGGUCGCGGUACAGUUUAGCGCCCAGUGCAAAGGUUGGUCACGAGGUACCUAGUAGCUACGGAUAUCCUCCAUCUGGGAGAUCCGGAAUAUCCACAACCAAAACACGCACCUCGCGAAAAGGAGGCUUAGUCAUGGAAACCAUGUCCGCACCAAAUCCCUUCUGCCCCAAUACCAAAGGCAUCUGUUGCCUGAUGUUGCUUUUAAACCUUGGUCUGAUUCUCGUUACUCUGGGUUUCGUAAUUGUGCUUCAAUUCUUCGAGCCGUUAUUCGUAUGGAUUCUCGGGAUAGUUUUCUUAGUCUUUGGAUUUCUCACACUCCUUGGUAGCCUACUCUACUGUGUUCAUGUCUUUCGAGAUGCAAGGCAUCCAAAGGAUAUUAACCAAGAGGACUUGUACUGGUCGUGGCACUGGCAAAGGCGGAUUAAUUCGCCUCCAGAGAUACACUAUAGGGCAGACGAUAAAUAUCAGGAUGACGAAUACAGUGAUAGAUUAAGCAAAUAUUCCGGAAAAAUGUCUGACAAGCACAGUCAACGGUAUUGAAGAAAAGAAUCACAUACAUAUACUGAAGAUCGACGCAUCGUCAGAAAAAACGUUAAAACAUAAAGGAAAAGGCUAAAAGUAAAUGAGAAAAAAACGAUGAUGAUAGAAAGAGCAAUCAGCUGGAUUGUGUAAAGACGUUAAAAAUGUAAAUAACAAAUUUACUGACAAAAGCAAAUUGUGUUCAUGACUAAAUAUUGGUCAUUAUCUAACCGUAAAAGGCAUGUGUUACAAUAAAUCGUAUAACAGCUGAGUCACAACAUACGCCGAUGUAAUAAUCAAAAUCGAAAGGAAGAUUGCAUCCAACCCUGGAAAUAUUUUCAGCGAUACGAGACUUUUAACUCAUUAUGUAAAGUCGCUUAUAUCCAAUCAGGACAACCGCGGCAAGUUUAUGUUAUUUGAGAAAUACACAUAACUGUAUUAGAUAUAAUAAUAUAUAUUUUGUUCUAACAUUUUUUUAACACGUUUAUUUAAAACACCGUUUUACUUGGCAAAGCCAGGAUUGUUAUGGAUAAUUGUUCUUCUCGUCAGCUGUACGUGUAAGUGAACGUAAUUGACCGAGUAGCAAGUAAGAUAUUGCAAUUACUUGAACAAAAACUGAUUUGAUUGAGCUCCUCACAAAAACGAUGAGAGUGACGAAAAUUUCGUUUGGGAACAAUUUAAUACAAACGCCAAGCCGAUGGGAGGAUGAAUCCAUUACAUAAUAUUAUAUUCUUUUUCGCGUGAUACAAUUACUUAUGGGCAGCUGUGCACGUACGUACAUGUGUAGAUACAUAGGUUGUAAUAUAUAAUAAUAUGAUCAGUUCACGAAUAAUCUCGACUCAAGUUAUAUAGGUACAAUAAGCAGAUUAUUUAUAAUUUCGUUAUCUAGUUUGUUGUUUGAUCUUUUUUACUCUUUCACUACGCUGUGUGUACUUAUGAACCUCUGAUCGUGAACAAUAUAAAUGACUGUAUCAACUGUG